Molecule: ribosomal RNA, 403 nt
Filed under: Holothuria parva
Lineage: Eukaryota; Metazoa; Echinodermata; Holothuroidea; Aspidochirotida; Holothuriidae
Description: partial 16S ribosomal RNA
Rfam family: Bacterial large subunit ribosomal RNA
Source: RNAcentral
CGGCGGAACCUUUUUCAACUGUCUCUUCCCCCACCCUUCUAAAUUCUUUCCUAUGUGAAGAAACCUAGAUACAUCAGAAAGACGAGAAGACCCUGUCGAGCUUUAACCACUAGGUGAGUUUACUUAUCCCUUUUUAAAUAUCACCAAAAGGUUUUGGUUGGGGCAACCACGGAGAAAAAAAAUCCUCCAGAUUAAAUAGAAGAAAACCCUUCACUAUUACGCUUUCAAGAACCAGGAACUGGUAAUCGGAAAAAGUUACCGCAGGGAUAACAGCGUUAUCUCCUCUAAGAGUCCUUAUUGACGAGGAGGUUUGCGACCUCGAUGUUGGAUUGGGGCCCCCUUAGGGUGCAGAAGCUCUAAACGGUUAGACUGUUCGUCUAUUAAAGCCCUACGUGAUCUGAGU